GACGAACGCUGGCGGCGUGCUUAACACAUGCAAGUCGAACGGAAAGGCCCUGCUUGCAGGGUACUCGAGUGGCGAACGGGUGAGUAACACGUGGGUGAUCUGCCCUGCACUUCGGGAUAAGCCUGGGAAACUGGGUCUAAUACCGGAUAGGAGCCAUUUUUAGUGUGAUGGUUGGAAAGUUUUUUCGGUGUAGGAUGAGCUCGCGGCCUAUCAGCUUGUUGGUGGGGUAAUGGCCUACCAAGGCGGCGACGGGUAGCCGGCCUGAGAGGGUGGACGGCCACAUUGGGACUGAGAUACGGCCCAGACUCCUACGGGAGGAAGCAGUGGGGAAUAUUGCACAAUGGGCGCAAGCCUGAUGCAGCGACGCCGCGUGGGGGAUGACGGCCUUAGGGUUGUAAACGCCUUUCGCUAGGGACGAAGCUUUUUGUGACGGUACCUAGAUAAGAAGCACCGGCUAACUACGUG
RNAcentral lists this ribosomal RNA (465 nucleotides) under uncultured bacterium. RNAcentral's name for it is "partial 16S ribosomal RNA". It matches the Rfam family "Bacterial small subunit ribosomal RNA", at positions 28 to 507 of the family's 1533-position model. The record is from RNAcentral.